ACGAAGGCAAUUGUUCUCGCAAUUGUUCUGUCCCGCGUUGCAUUUUUACGCGUAUAAUUUGGUGUUAUUUCGGCCAUAUUAUUAUUGUUAUUGUACUUGUUGAUGAGAUUCUUAAUUAUUGUAUGAUCAAGAUACAGUAGUUAUCGUAUGAUCAAGAUUCUGGGUGAUUGUUGUGCCUUAUUGUUGAUAUGGGUCAUUAUUGUUGCCUUAUUGUUAUCGUUGAUACUGGCUAAUUUUCGUUUUAUCUGGGUUACUAUGGUUGAUAGUGGGUAGGUAUGGUUUGUUCAAGAUACUGAGUUAUUAUUGUUGAUUAGGAUGAUGGGUAAUUGUUGCAUACGAUUCUCUUCAGAAGAUGAGUUGAUGCCUUCCUUUGGGGAGCGCUCACUUGUGUAAUGAUUCCAUGCUUCUUAAAGUCUUUUUUGAUGUGUUUGUAGUAGCCUAUGUGUUUGGUUUUUGAUUUCUUGGCCUUCUCAUGAUGAUAUAAAUCUCAUGUUAUCUACUUUCGAAUCUUUGGAGCUCUUUUAUCAUCUCUUUAGACAAGGAACGAUAGGGGUUUGGGAAGUACUUUUCAGUUCACAAUUACUUCUGUUUUUUUUCCUCUAGUUUAUUGAUGCAUUAUUGUUGUUUAUUUGAUCAGGUAUGGGUAAUGACACUUGCUGUUAAUGUUACCUUGGUCUCAAUGUUAAGUCUUCAAUUUUUUUUUGUGAGAAAUCGUGUGUUUUGUCACACUCUGAAACCUAGAAAUUUCCUUUUGUUGAACCACAAUAUAGUAGAAUUGGAAAUUUUGUUCCCAAGCAUUGCCUACUUGGAUCUUCUAGUCUAGUGGAUCUAUCAGUUUGGAUUUGAUAUCUUGACUUCCAUCUUUAAUGCUAAUUAUGAUGUUGAUCAUGUGUCUCCUUGCAUCAACUUCUUUUGCCUUGUUAUUUUGUUUGGUCAAGAAUACAUAGAUUGACAUAUAGGUGCAAGUGGUUCUAAAGGAACAAGUGUCUUGCUAUGGUGUUUAUGGUAAAGAUGCGGCAGUUCCCAGGUCUAUGGUUGAAGGUUUUGGAGUGUUUAGUCCCCCAAAGCUCUGCUAAAAAAUGGUACGAAACGGAAGUUUGUGUAUAGUGUGUUCUACUGCCAGUUAGUUUUAGUUUUUAAUUCAAAAUUUUGUGAUUUUAAUGAUCCUGGUGUCUUAUGGUGUUAUAGGCACUGGAUAAAGUCACGAGUAAAUUCUGGAUCUUUUAUAGUGUUGUAAAGUGAUCUUCUGCUACUUAUCAUCUCGUUGUUUUCCCUUUUUUACCAUGCCAACUUGAUUUGUGUUCAUUAGUGAAUGAAUGUGUAAACCACGUAGUGACAGUACCAGAGUACUAGUUUUCGGAAAUCCUAAGGAUUGUAUCCAGUAUGCAUUUUGGUGCUCUUUGUGUAUUGAUUUUCUUGGUCUUUGCACUCCAAGAUGGAUAUUGUUAGGCUUCAGUCAAAAUGGGGGUUCUUGAUCUUGUCUCUCGCAUCUCUCGUGAUUUCUUAGGUGAUAUGGGAAACUUUUAAGGAUUGUAUCCGGUAUUCAUUCCUAUACAACUUUUUUAUUGGUCUUUUUUGUCCUGGCAGUCCAAGAUGGAUAUUGUUGGGCUUCAACCAUAAUGGGGUUCUUAGUCCUAGUGUCUUGCAUCUAUAGUGAUUUCUUAUGUGUUACGGGUUCCGUCAGCUUUGCACUUGACUGGUCCCUUCUUAUGGUGCUUGUAGUUGGGUCUUAACGAGUAGGGAAUUAUUUUUUUUUCAUGGAGGGGCUUUGCUUGGACAUUUGUGUUGGGGUUUCUAGGUUCAUAUAUUGUUAGUACUGAGAUACUCAUUUUUGUUUUUUCCCAAAUCAGAGUGGUCCCUAUUCUCUUUGUCAAAAAUUGUUGUUGUACGAAACUUGCAAAGCUAAGUUUUUCCUGCACACAAGGAACAUACGAUGAUCCAGUUGAUGAGAUUCCUGGUAAUUGAUGGGUAUAUGGUCUUAUUGACACCUGAUAAAUAGUCGAAACUGAAUCCUUGAUCUCUUGACAGCCCGGUCAAGUAGGUCCCUAUUAGACCCUCUCUUUUGGUGUUCUCUCUGCCUCAUCUUCUCUGGUUCUUUUUUCUUGCAUCACCCUGUUUGAUUUUUUUUUGUUGGAUGGAUGCCACUUGAGAGGACUAUAUCUGGAAAAUCUUGAACGUUGAUGCCUAGUGUCUGUUCAUGUGCACAGUAUUUCCUACUAGUCUUUCACUGUGAUCUGAAUAUCAUCACGCUUCGAUAGAAAGUUCUCCAAUUUUUUUCUUUGCCAUUUAUAUGCUUGCAUUGCAAUCUGAAUAUUUUCUGACUUUGAGGGAGGGUCUUUUCAAUCUUGUCUGGAAUUUUUUCUAGUGGGUUUUGUCAGCUUUGCAUGUAACUCUUCGUUCAUUCCUUAGCUUGCAGCCACUGGUCCUACAAAAAAUGAAUUCUUCUUUCAUGGAGGUACUUUAUUUGUCCAUAUGUGUUGAGAUUUCAUUGGUCAAUCUUCUAUGAGUAUAGAUAAAUUUCUUUUCCCUGUUGACUCCUUUGUCUUUGUCAUAACUACUGUUGUAUGGUAGUUUCUCAAUUAGAACAUUAUUUUCACCAGAGUGUGCUGUAAUUUGAAGCCAUGGACAUGGAGUUCUUAGUUCAGAUGCUUAUAUUCUUAUGGUGAUAACAAUUGAUAAGGUCUCUUAUGGUGAUAAUGUCUCUGACUCUCUGAUGGUUAUGGAUACCAUACUGUUGUAUGAUAGUUUCUCAAUUAGAACAUUAUUUUCACCAGUGUGUGCUGUAAUUUGCAGCCAUGGACAUGGAGUUCUUAGUUCAGAUGCUUAUAUUCUUAUGGUGAUAACAAUUGAUAAGGUCUCUUAUGGUGAUAAUGUCUCUUACUCUCUUGAUGGUUAUGGAUACCUGAUAAGUACUUGACCAAUUCUAGAUCUAUUGAUAGUGGCGUAAAUACUCCUGAACUUUUGUUCUUUUAAGUACUUAUCAAACUGCUCUCAUUUUUUUGUUGUAUCACUAUUUUUUUUGGUUGUCUGGAUGUGUUUAGACUAUUAGGUGAUGCUAUUAUUCAGAUUUUGAAAAAACUUGGUUAGCCAACACGUGGUCCUUUGCGUCUUUUUGGUCUUUUUGUCUUAGUUGUGCAAACUCAUCACUAUUGAUGCCACACCCAUCUCAGAUUCUCCAAUAAUACACUAAUUUUGGCAAAUUUGACACGCACCCAUUGACACUUUUGAAGACUCCGAGCAACAUAGAUUUUUGGUGCUUGUAGUGCAAUCUGGAUGUUUUUUGGGUUUUCACAAAAAGGGGGUUUAUAGUCUCAUCUAUGGAAUCUGUAGUGAUUACUUUGGUGGUUUAGGGUUCGUCAAGUUUGCUCUGAUUGUUCCCUUCUUUCAUAUCUUGCAGCCAAUUCCCAGGGCAGUGAAUUCUUCUUUUCAUGGAGAGGCUGUGUUUUGUCGGUUUGCAUUGAGGUUAGUCAAGUCGUUUGUCAGUAUGUAGAUUUUCGAAUCAAUUUUCUUCCCUAGUGUCCCUUUAUCUUUAUCAAAACUAGUGUUGUAUGGAAGUUUCUUAACUAGGACAUUAUUUUUCAAUGGUGUGUGUUGUGUUCUGCUGUCAUGAAGUUUAGUCCAAACGCUUAUGUUCUUCGAUCCUCCAAUUGAUGAGGUUUUCUAUGGCUUAUGGAUCCUUGAUAAGUACUCGUCCAAUUCUAUAUCUCAUUUGAUAGUGGCAUAAAACACUUCAUUACUUUUGUUCUAGCUACUUACUUAUCUUCUAUGCUUCCCCAUAUUUUUCAUUACCACACUGGUUUGUUUUUGGUUGGAUGGUGGUGUACUAGGCCGUGUGUUUGUUUGAUUGGAUGGAUGUGUAGUAGACCAUGUGGUGACACUAUUAUGGACUUUCAAAAUUUGAAAUUUCAUAGCUUGGUAAGAUCCUCUGCCAUCUUUUGGUCUUUCUGGUGCUUGCACAACAAUCUGGAAAUUGUCAAGGCUUUGACAGAAAGGGGUUUUCAGUCUCGUGUAUGGCAUCUCUAAUUCUUACUUAUGUGAUUUGGGGUUGUCAGAUUUGCACUUAACUGUUCCCUUCUUUCUGUUCAUGUAGCCAUGGUUACAGGGCAAUGAAUAUUUCUUUGUGUUUGCCUGCUUGUGGUGAGGUUCUUUCAGUUUAAGUUUUUAUGAGUAUCAUGAUUUUCGAUUAUGUUUUCUUCAGGAGUUUCUCUACUAAGAUCGUAUUUUUCACUAGUGUGUUGUUGUUCUUCUGCUAACGUGAAGUUUUUAGUCCAGACACUAUGUUAUUCGAUGAUCCAAUUGAUAAGGUCUCCUAUGGCAAUGGACCUUAGAAUUAGACAGUGCCAUUAAUGGUCCAUCUGGUAUUUUAGCAAUAGAUAUCUUGGUCAUUACGACUUAGUUUUUUUGUUUGGAUGGAUAUGUGGACUAGAUAAUGACAAUAUAGAGGUUAAGAUUUGGAGAUAUCAAAGGUUGAUAUCCAGUAUGGUAUCUUUGUACCCUCUUGGUCUCUUUGAUUCCUGCACUGCAAUUUUUAUUUAUUGGUCAAUGAUUCAACAAAAUGGGAGUUUUGAAUCUUGUCUAUAUGGCGUCUCUAGUGAUUUCUUAUAUGGUGUGGGUUUCAUUAGUUUUGAACUUGAUUGUACCCUUCUUUUUGCGCUUGCAGCGAUUGGAUCUUUCAGAGAAAUCAACUAAUAUUUUCAUGGAGCGGCUUUCUUUGUCCAUUUAUAACGAGAUUUCCGUGGUUCAAGCUUUUAUGAGUUCUGACAUUUGCAACUAAGAUAGUUUUUUUUUCCAUUAGUGUGUGCUGGUAUUCUACUGCCAUUUUGAGUGUUUAUUCUAGAUGAUUAUUUACUUUGAUAAUCUAGUCGUCGAAAUUCCAAAUACUUGAUGGUUAUGGUCUCAUGGACGCCUGAGAAGUACUAAUUUUUGGAUCUUUCAAACCUCAUAUAUGAUCCUCUCUUUUGGUGUUCUUGUUGCUUAUCUUCUGUACUUCAUUUUUCUUUAUUAUGCUAGCUUGAUCUUGUUUGUUGAAUGUGGAUGUGUUGUUACAGUUGAGAGGAAUAAACUUUGAUGAAGGUUGGUGGCCUGUGUGCAUUUCACUACACCCUAUUUGUUGGCCAUAUUGGUUCUUGCACAUCAGUCUGAAGAUUAUCGAGCUUUGAAAACAGAUGCUUAUGUUCUUUGGUGAUCCAACUGAUGAGAUCUCCAUGGUUAUGGACAACACUUGACAAGUGUAUGCAUACUCAAUCAUGUUUUUCAGAUGUCCCUGUAACACAUUCAUGUACAUCUCGUGGUGGGUGUGCAUCCCUCUGUGGACCAUGUUUCUUGCCAUUUUUGUGCAAUCUGUUUACUAGAUAUCACCAGGCAUCAGAACAGGGUACCUUGCAAUAUAAUCUUGUUUGGUAUCUCUACUGAUCUUUCAUGCGUAGUAUUUUCCACUUACUUGUUAUGUUCUUUUUGUGCAUGCAACGAUUGGUUCUUCCAAGCAUGAACUUCAACUCGGGUUUCUUCCUAAUCAGCAGGUCACUUUUCUCUGUCAAAACCUUAUGUUGUGUGGUAGUUCUCAAGAAAUGAUAAUAUUUUUCACUAGUGUGUGUUGUACUCUGCUGGCAUGAAGUUUUUAGUGUAGAUGCUUUUUCUUGGAUUUAUCCAAAUGAUGAUGAGAUCCUGAUUGUUAUGGACACCUGACAAGUACCCACGCUCAAUUUUAUAUCUUCUUAUGUCCCGUGUAGCUCCUUCAACUUCAUUGUUCGUGCUACUUAUCUUCUCUAUUUUUAUUUUCUUGUGCUUAUCCCGCUACUUGAUUUUGUUUGUUUGGAUGCAUGUUUGUAGACAACAUGGUGACCAGAUUUGGUAAAUUUUGAAGUUUGUCCUAGUGUGUCCUUCCCUUGUGCACCUAGUUUCUGUGCCAUUUUUGUGCUUGCGGUUGGACUGCAAUAUGGAUAUCACCGGGCACUGGCAAGGGAGUUAAGCAAUCUUUUCUGGCAUGUCUAGUGAGCUCUCCUAUGUUGAAUGGGUUUCGCAGCUUCAACUCUAAUUGUUCCUUUUUUUUGUGCUUUGCUGCUGUUGGGCAACUCUAAUUGUUCCUUUUUUUGUGCUUUGCUGCUGUUGGGUCUUUCAAGAUCAGAAAAGUCUUCCUUUUGUGGAGCAGGCUUGUUUUUCUUAGUGGUAGAGUUCCCUUACUUCAGGCUUUGUAUUAGUACCUAGGUCUUCGAUUAAGUUCUCUUCCCUCAUCAUACAGAUCCCCUUAUCUUGUUGGCGGAAGUGUUGUUAAGCAGAUGUCUUAAUUAUGAUAUCUUUUCCAGAUGCUUUUGAUUUGCGAUGAUCCAACUGAUCAAUUAUCUUAUGGUGUGAAUCUCUGGUAGGUACUCUUAGUUCUGGAUUUUUCCGUCAUCUACCUUUUGUGUUCUUGCUGCUUAUCUUCUCUGCUUCCAUUUCUAUUUGCUUAUCACACCAGUUUGAGCUUUGUCUAUUGAACGAGAUGUAUAUACCACAUACUGAACAAUAAUAGAGGAUUAAACUUGGAAAUUUAAAAGCUUAGUGUUCAGUAAGCUGGUCGUUUAGGUCCUUGCACUGCAAUCUUUAGGGCUUUGAGAAAACGGGGGUUCCUAAAUAUUUGCAUUAAACUGUUCUUUAUGUGCUUGUAGUUGUGUUCGUUGUGUUCUUAAAUAUCUAAUUUCUUCUUUUCAUGAAGCAACCUUUGUUGAUUAUGUUGAGGUUUCAUUUGGUUCUAGCUCCUGUAAGUGUUUGGUUUUCAGUUUGGUUCUCUUCUCUAAUAAGUAUUUAUCUUUUCUCACCACACACUUUUCAAAGUGGCGCUCUUCUAGUAAUUAGUCUGAAUUAAAAUUUUACAUGUCAGUGUGUUGCAGUACAUGGUCAUUUUCAUUCAAUUUUUGGUUCAUUUAUUGGGUGCAACAUCUGCAUCAUAGUCACUACAAUUUCCUGACUAAUUAUUGUUAGGUAAAUGAAACCUCUUUCAUUUUAAGAUCUCUUCCCUAUCUUUUUUUAAAUGUGUGUUUUAUAUAUUCAGACAGUGUAUCAUUUGUCGACCUGCUUCAGAGGCUUAGCUUUAUGUAAAACUUUAAUAUAAAAGGUAGCUCGCUCCUGCACACUUUUUUCUCCAUAAAUCAUUGCCAUUUGAACAGUCUUUGCACCAAAGACAGCAAUUCAUUGAAUCUAGAACAGAUCAAGUAAAAAAACAUGGCUCAUCUUUUGUGUGACAUAUCAUGUACAGUCUUUAUGUAUUUAUAUCACAAAAGUAACUAUUGUCUUUUGUGUAUAAGAUCUUCUCAAGAGAUACCCUUGUAAAUCCAUUACAUAUCAGAUCAUUGUGGAAGUUGGGAAUUUUUCUCUAUGAAUUUUGUUCUUCUAAAUACUCUUCUUAGAUGAGCUUUGUACUAUUUUCUUGAUAAGGUUGAAAUUGCCAUUGAUUAUAGGUAACUGUUGUUUUGUCAUUUUCUAUGUUCUUGAUGUAUGUUUAGUCAAAUGUCACUUCACUGAUUGUAUGUUUCCUAAAAUGUCACUUAACGAAUAAUUUGUGCAGCCAAUGUCACUUCACAAACUGUCACUGAUGGUUUCUUAACUUCGUUCUCGUCAUGUUCAAUUACCAGCUAAUUCAUUUCUUAUUUUAGAAAUUGUUCCUUGAUCCUUGGGUUUCUUAUAUUGUGAGGGAUUAGGAACGUUGCACAAGUUAAAAGGGGAUCUUCUAAGAAGUCCCACCCAGACCAAGUUAAGAAAGUUUUGAAAUGUGUUGUCGUCUUGCCUUCAUUCAUCAGUUGCAACUCUCGAUUCACCUCACUUUACAUAUGGUUCUUAUACUUUAGAUAUCAAAUGGUUAGAGGAAUUUACAUUUUUAUCAUUUUCCCUUGUAAUUUGUAUGAGUCUGUUCCAAUGUGCUUUAAUUUUAUCUGUUGCAUCACUAGAAACACAUUGGUAAAGAGGGAUCUGACUAUUAUUUCAGGCAUUCAGGUGCUUAGUAGUUGUCAUAUUUUUACAUAUGUGCUGAGGUUCCAUUAGUUCAGUCUUUUAUGAGUAUAGAUAAUUUUCAGUUCAGUUCUUUCCUAAUGACUUCUUUGUCUGUUAUAACUAAUGUUGUAUGGAAGUUUCUCAAUUAGGACAUUAUUUUCACCAAUAUGUGUUGUAUUCUGCUGCCAUGAAGUUCUUAGUCAAAACGCUUAUGUUCUUUGAUGAUUCAAUUGAUGAGGUCUCUUAAUGGCGAUGAGGUCUCUUACUCUCCUAUGCUAUGGACAACUGAUAAGUGCUUGACCAACUCUAGAUCUUUUGGUAGUGGUGUAAAAUGCUUCUUACUUUUGUUCUUUUAGCUAUUUAUCUUCCUCCAUCCAUUUUUUUCGUUAUCAUACUUGUCUUUUCUUUUUUGGUUGUAUGGUUGGGCUGACCGUGGACGUUCAGAUUUGAAAAUUUCAAAGCUUGGUUAACCAGUGUGAUCCUUUACCACUUUUUGGUAUGUACAGCAAUCUGGAUAUUGUUCGGGCUUUGAUGGAAGGGAUUCUUUUAGUCUUGUCUAUGACAUCUCUAGUGAUUUCUUAGGUGGUUUGGGGUUAUCAGAUUUGUUUUUAACUGUUCCCUUCUUUUUGUUGUUGCAGAACUUCAACCAUUGGUUGCAAGCUAGUGAAUUGUUCUUUUUACGGGUUGGCCGUGUUUGUCCAUUUGUUUUGACAUUUCUUAAGUUAAGUCUUUAUGAGUAUCGAUAUUUUCGAUUCAGUUGUCUUCCCUAAUGUUGAAUCUUUGUCAAAAUUACUGGUUGGUAAAGAGGGAUCUGACUAUGAUUUCAGGCAUUCACUUCUUAGGAGUUCUGUUGGAAUUUGUUAUGUAAUCAGGUUAUGGUUAGAACUUUCUUGUUUCUUACCUCCCCCAGAUGUGAGUAGAGCUGUUGGUUGGCUGCCUCUGCCUGAUGGUUAAGAGAUGUUGAUGGUGGGUCAAGGUGUGCAAGAUUUUUUAAUCAGGUCUUGCAUACUGUGAUGAUGAGAAUGUUUUGUCAAUUUUGAUUACACGAUCUUACGGGUUUCACAAAGUGGUAAUUUUCUUUGGUGGUUAGAAGUUAAUAUCUCUACGUAAUGUCGUACUUAUCUAUUUCAUCCCACUGCACUCUAUAAACAACUUUUCUUUGUUGGAAUGGGGAGGGCUGGCACCUCCAGUUCUUUUCUCCCUCCAAAUGUAUUAUUUGAUCCGGUGAGCUUAAAUUUUGUCCCAAAUGCAGGUUUCUGCUCCUUGGUUAUGCCUAUUUGAAGUUUGGAGGGAGGGGUCAAGGAUGUUUUUUAAGGUUUCUGCCAUAAUGCAACUAGUUUUGUGUUACCAGUGACGGUUGACGAGUUUUGGUUAUUUACUGAAUUGGAGGGGUCUUGAUUCAUUGAUGUUGUGUUGUAUCCAGAAGUUCUCUGAUUUCGCUAUAUAGUUAUGGAAUAUGAGGAGAUCUGUCAGUUAAAGAAAAGAACGUCUGGCAGAGUACUUGGCCUCCUAUGCAGGAAGUGAGACCUAAAGGGUAAUCUUAUAGUGCAGGAUAUCAUUUUUUGGGUUUUCUAAUUUAUUUUUAAGUUUGACUUGGCUGUAAGUUCUCACUUUCGUUAGUUUCUUGAGGCAUCCAAGGACUUCCUGGUUAGGUUGUACCAAUUCGUUUCUAGUUCUACCUGAGGUAAUGAUGGUAAGGAAAUACACAAUACAGUUUCUGUUUUUGGAAGUCAAUAAUCUUUGUAAUGAAGUAAGCCUCGUAUCUGAUACUUGCAACAUAUUAUUUUUUUCUUGCAUCUUCUCCUCUAGAACACUAUCUAGUAGCUGUUUUUAAGACUUCCCUUGUAGAUGUUGCAAUCUAUAUUCCAUGUUGUUAGGCGUCCAAAAUCAUGAAGAGGUCUCCCUACGAAGUCUUCUGGUUUUUUUAUCUACCCAUAAACUUUAAAUGGAGUAUGGGGUCUACGGUAGUGAAUUUUUUAUGUGUUAUCUACCAUCAAUAAUUCUUGGUUGGACAGUCAUGUCUUACUAUCCACCCAAUUAGUUAGAUAGGUUGAUGCACCAAGCAUGAGAAGGAAUGAUAUCAAGGUGUUUCUGAGGAGAAGUCUGUUAUAGUCAUUAUCUGUGGUUAUUAUUGUUCGACUCCUGCAUUUAGAGCAUUUAUUAUAUUUGCUUAUUUGGAUCUCUUACCUCUAAAACAACACUACAGAUGUGAGUGUGCUAUUUUUGAAGUUUUGGAAGGUAUUAGCAUCUUGUAGUAGCUAGGAUUCUUGGCUAAAGUUUGUCAUGGUAUUUCUAUUUUAAAUAUGGACACUGAAUGGGUAUUUCUGUUUUCUCUAAGUUCCAUUUGUCCAGAUUUGCCCAAAUGUGCCAGAUUAUAUGAGUGGGGUAUUUUUCUUUAAGCUCUAGUUGUCCAAUAUCGUCGGGUAACUCUGAAUGUGGUAAUUCCUCUAAGCUCCAGUUGUCUGAAUCAGCCAGUCAAGAAUUAUCAGCACAAAGAUGUUGCUUUGGAGUAACAGUGAGUGCAACUUUCUUCCUCUGUUCUCUCGAGUUCUUGUAGCUAUUUUGAUUUUGGAAUGAAGGACUUUUUUUGGCUUAAAUACACAAAGUCAGUUCCAUAUAAGCGGAUUUGCUCUACAAAAGUGGAGAGAAGUUGGGAUGAUGAUGAAUCGGUCCUUGUGGAUCAUGUUAAAUAGAAAAGGUCCUAGUAUGAUGUGGAGUACGUUAAAACCGAAAAAGGUCCUGGUAUGAUUACUUGGAUUCCUGUUUUUACAUUGACAUGUUCUAGUCAUCUUUGCAUGUUGAAAGCAUUUUAAUAUCUAUUUUGGAUUAACAUUACGUGUUCUUCUGAUUAUUUUGAGUGGGGGUGUUUCAACUACACUCGGGUGCUCUAGUCACUAAGUAGUGUCUAAUGUGCUUUCUAUGUGCACCUUUCAGUGCAUGGGAGGAUUCGUGUUCUAUUAAGGCGGCAAUGUCAGUGAUUGAGUAUUAAUUAUGAGUAAGAACAGAGUGAUCUCAAAAUAAUUGUCUCCUCUCACAUGUUCGAAAUGCAGUUACUGAAUAUACAUAAUAUUUUAACUAGUAUAGGUGUGAAAUAGCUUCCUGUUUUGGGUUGCUGAUGAGUUGUGUAUAUAUUUCUUUGUCUUAUCUCACAUGCUUAUUUGGUCCCAUUUGGUUUGGGAUUGGUAUAUAUGGAUAAGUAUCUUGGAUGUGAUAAAAGCUUGGCUUGAGUUCCAGGAAGCGAGGAAAUACUUUUUCUCAAACCAUGGACUAAAUGGAAGUUCAAUUCAGGAGAAGCACUUGAUGAAGCAUCCCGAAAUUUGGCAGAUGCGAGAACAGGGAAGGAACAAGAUUCCAUGUGUGUAGCGAUGAUAUUGGUGCAAAAAAGUUUAUAUCAUGGUUUAUAUUAUUCUCUCCUUCGUUGCUCCAGAUUUGGAGAAUCUACUCUUUUGAUAUUAUCUGUACUUUUAAUUGUUGAAGUUGCUAUGGAAUUGUGGAGUUCGCGAAUGUAACUCGUUCAUGGUAUGAAAUAUAUGUUGAAUUGUAAGAUAGAAUUGAUUUUGUAGUUGUGUUGGUUUAUUUGAUGCUACAUUUUGUGUUUA
Solanum pennellii is the source of this 11561-nucleotide long non-coding RNA. RefSeq lists it as uncharacterized. NCBI's taxonomy places the organism in Eukaryota, Viridiplantae, Streptophyta, Magnoliopsida, Solanales, Solanaceae. The record is from RefSeq and is a predicted model, not a curated record. The transcript has 2 exons.